RNAcentral lists this ribosomal RNA (270 nucleotides) under uncultured archaeon. RNAcentral describes it as "partial 16S ribosomal RNA". It matches the Rfam family "Archaeal small subunit ribosomal RNA", at positions 477 to 747 of the family's 1478-position model. The record is from RNAcentral.
CGGCGGCCCUAGUGGUGAUCGUUAUUAUUGGGCCUAAAGCGUCCGUAGCCGGUUCGGUAAAUCUCUGGGUAAAUCGUUGGGCUUAACUCAACGAAUUCUGGGGAGACUGCCGAACUUGGGACCGGGAGAGGUCGGAGGUACUCCAGGGGUAGGGGUGAAAUCCUGUAAUCCUUGGGGGACCACCGGUGGCGAAAGCGUCCGACCAGAACGGGUCCGACGGUAAGGGACGAAGCCCUGGGGCGCGAACCGGAUUAGAUACCCGAGUAGUCC